UACGUAGGGUGCAAGCGUUAAUCGGAAUUACUGGGCGUAAAGCGUGCGCAGGCGGUGAUGUAAGACAGAUGUGAAAUCCCCGGGCUCAACCUGGGACCUGCAUUUGUGACUGCAUCGCUAGAGUACGGCAGAGGGGGAUGGAAUUCCGCGUGUAGCAGUGAAAUGCGUAGAUAUGCGGAGGAACACCGAUGGCGAAGGCAAUCCCCUGGGCCUGUACUGACGCUCAUGCACGAAAGUGCGGGGAUCAAACAGG
Molecule: ribosomal RNA, 253 nt
Filed under: uncultured bacterium
Lineage: Bacteria
Description: partial 16S ribosomal RNA
Rfam family: Bacterial small subunit ribosomal RNA
Source: RNAcentral